AGUCGAACGAAGUAGCAAUACUUAGUGGCAGACGGGUGAGUAACAUGUAGGUAUCUACCCUUUGGCCUGGAAUAACACGAGGAAACUUGUGCUAAUACUGGAUAAGUCUUUACGGAGAAAGCUUUAUGCACCAUUGGAUGAGCCUGCACUUGAUUAGUUUGUUGGUAGGGUAAUGGCCUACCAAGACUUUGAUCAAUAGCUGAUUUGAGAGGAUGAUCAGCCACAUUGGGACUGAGACACGGCCCAAACUCCUACGGGAGGCAGCAGUGGGGAAUCUUGCACAAUGGAGGAAACUCUGAUGCAGCGAUGCCGCGUGAGUGAAGAAGGCCUUUGGGUUGUAAAGCUCUUUCGUCGGGGAAGAAAAUGACUGUACCCGAAUAAGAAGGUCCGG
Molecule: ribosomal RNA, 391 nt
Filed under: uncultured Pseudomonadota bacterium
Lineage: Bacteria; Pseudomonadati; Pseudomonadota
Description: bacterial SSU rRNA
Rfam family: Bacterial small subunit ribosomal RNA
Source: RNAcentral